This is a transfer RNA of 72 nucleotides. It matches the Rfam family "tRNA". From Rfam's summary of the family: Transfer RNA (tRNA) molecules are approximately 80 nucleotides in length. Their secondary structure includes four short double-helical elements and three loops (D, anti-codon, and T loops). Further hydrogen bonds mediate the characteristic L-shaped molecular structure. tRNAs have two regions of fundamental functional importance: the anti-codon, which is responsible for specific mRNA codon recognition, and the 3' end, to which the tRNAs corresponding amino acid is attached (by aminoacyl-tRNA synthetases). tRNAs cope with the degeneracy of the genetic code in two manners: having more than one tRNA (with a specific anti-codon) for a particular amino acid; and 'wobble' base-pairing, i.e. permitting non-standard base-pairing at the 3rd anti-codon position. The record is from Rfam.
GGUCUGAUGGUCUAGAGGUAUGAUUCUUUCUUAGGGAGGAAGAGGUCCCGGGUUCGAUUCCCGGUCAGACCC